GCUUUCUCUCUCCUCUCUGUUCUCUCCUUCAUACUUUUCACAGAGACGGAUGAUUGAGAAAGCGAAGAUGAAUGGUCUCUCUCUCUUUUUUCCUUUAUCCUUCAGAAAAAGAGAGGCUCCGUCAAGCUGGUCGGAUUUGUUACCGGCGCUUGACUCCCGAUGGUCGGGCUAUGACUCUGGCAAGUGGUGGCUCUUAAAGCACUAUCUUGGCCGGCUUCCGUCUCCGGCAAGCGGUGGUUCCCAUUAACACCGUAUUUUCCGGCUUUUAUUUUGAGAUUCAUCUCUCAUCUCCGAUGGAUUUCAAAUCUGUUUUAUACAGUUUUCUUCUUGUGUUUUUUUAAUCUUUCUUUGUUUCUGUUCAUCAUUUCUUAGUUUCCUUCGAUUCGAUUUUGCUAAGGGUGGUUUUUGAUUACUGUGAUCUUUUCCCAUUCAUUUGGGUGGCCCCAUCUUCAAGCUAAACUUUAUCUUUAAAGAUGGUUUUUAAAAAUUGUUAGAUCUUCAGUUUUCUUUGUUCUAAAUGGACCUUAGUUAGAUCGAUUUGAUUUCUUUGAAACGGUGUAGUGGUUUAUGGCUACUGAUUUCGAGCUUCUCAGAUGCUUAGCUGUUCUAUUCCUGAGCUUCCUGUUCCGGUACGUUCCGGUGGAUCUCCGGUUAGAAAUUCCGGCUUCGACUUGAAAAUCGGUGAAGAAAGGGUUGUCUCUGCUCUUCCGCCACGCGUCCAUCUACCGCACGCGUCUGAUGCGUUGGCUGUGAGCUGUCUCGUUGACUGCUGAGCCUCUUUCUUUCUAUGGGCCUUUAUGUUAGUUGGGCUUGCGGUUUGCCCUAGUUGUUAGUUAGUUAGUUUGGCCUUUCUGUUUGGGCCUUUAUCUUUUAUAUUCUUGUACUUUGUUGGCCUUUUGGCUUUUAAUAAAACGAGAUGGCAAAAAAAAAAAAAAAUUCAAUCCCGUGAUAGACUGAUAGUGUAUACUAAUAAUCCAAUCUGGUUCACAUGUUUCUACAUAAAACUUUAGUAAUAUACACAUACAUGCACAUUCACUUUGACACCACAGACGCAUUGAAUUAUAGUAUAUAAAUGUUCUUCUUGCGUGUUGGUAUCACCGCAUAAUUUCUGCCCAAUGGCGUUUAUGGCAAAACCAAUAAUGCGGUCAAGAACAAAAUUGAAAACUUCACAAGGCCCAAAACCCAUACAACAAGAACUGUGUUUUGACAGGACCACAUAAUGGCACUAUCGAAAAUAGAGCCAGUAAGCGAUACUCC
RNAcentral lists this long non-coding RNA (1257 nucleotides) under Brassica rapa (field mustard). RNAcentral's name for it is "long non-coding RNA (BRAP_LNC004647)". The record is from RNAcentral. Lineage: Eukaryota; Viridiplantae; Streptophyta; Magnoliopsida; Brassicales; Brassicaceae.